Malus domestica (apple) is the source of this 3036-nucleotide non-coding RNA. NCBI's taxonomy places the organism in Eukaryota, Viridiplantae, Streptophyta, Magnoliopsida, Rosales, Rosaceae. The record is from RefSeq and is a predicted model, not a curated record.
CUUUCGUCUGUUUGUUUGUUUAUUGUCAGAUAGCUUGGGUGAGAGACGUUACCAGAUGUGGUGUGGAGGAUUUUGCAAGGAAUUCGAAUAGUCGGCGUCUUUUGAAACUUGGGCUCGCAGACGGCUACAGUGAGUGUGAUUGUUUCUGGGAUUCCGAUUCCGCCCCACAGAAGAAGAGUUGGUCCACUAUUACUUGCAGAUGAAGCUCGAGGGAUACUCCAAGCAUAUAUAUGUCGAGCUGUGAAUAGAAGUCAAGAGCUACGAAUAGAAAUUAACUGCAUGCAUAUAUAUUAUUAUCUGCUCGCACAAAAAAUUAUUUCUAAUUAUCAUGCUAUGUCUUUGAUUCUGGCAGUUAUGGAUACUCCAAGGAAAGAUUUGUCUGGUCUUUGAUAUCUGUUGUUGGUAUCUUUUGGCAGUUAUUAUUUUUUUCUUUCUAAUAACUUACUGUUAAUUUCUUAGAUUAUCUAUUGUGUUUGUAAAUUCUAUUGCGGUUUUAUAGAAUUUGUCUGCCUCUUCCUCAGCCCCUCCAAAUAUUCAGUAUGCAGCUCUUGUGAUUAGUUGCUCAUUUAUUAUUGAAGGUGCUUCUCUUCUUGUUGCCAUACAAGCCGUCAAGAAAGGUGUGGCUGCUGAGGGCAUGAAAUUGAGAGACUAUAUAUGGCGCAGACAUGAUCCCAUGUCUGUUGCAGUCAUGAUAGAGGAUAGCGCAGCUGUAACUGGUCUUGGUACUCCACGAGAACUUGGAUCAAGAGACCUUUCCAACUUUCUGUCAUCUUUGAGUCACACCUCAGUACAACAUAAACCUGAUGUUUAUGCCCAAACAAAUAUCUAUGACGAGCAUCAGCGGUCACAAUGGGCAUGGUGUGUGUGUGUUGUGUUGUGUUGAAUAACCGAAAAAGGAUGACUCUGAAGUGACUUUGAAUGUAAACUUUCAUAUUUUCAAUUUUUUUUUUAAAUUUUUGGAGGAAGACAAAAAAAAAAAAAAAAAAAAAAAAAACCAAAAAAAAACCGAAACCGAACCGAAAAAUCCAAACAAAAAAAAAACUGAAAAAAUUUGAACCGAACCGAACCGAACCAAACCGUUGAGAACCGAACCCAGCCCUAAUUGCCAUACACAGACAUUUACACAGAAAAAGGAAAACUACAAAGAAAUGUUAACUCCCUUAAAAGAAACCUUGGCAAACUUGUUACAAUUUUGGCCCUUCCAAUUGCUACUUCUAGCCACUUUCCUCGUCCUCUUAUACAGAUGGUCAUCCACCUCCGCAAACGCACCACCACCUUCUCCACCAAAGCUCCCUAUCAUUGGAAACCUUCACCAAGUAAGCUUGCAAAUUCAUCGCUCACUUCAAACCUUAUCUCAGCGACACGGGCCUCUCAUGCUGAUCCAUUUUGGAAGUACGCCAGUCCCUGUGGUCUCGUCCGCUGAGGCUGCCUGCGAGAUCAUGAAAACCCAUAACACCACAUUUGCCAACAAACCCCAGAUCAUAUUCUUCAAGAAGUUUUGCUACAAUUUCAAAGAUGUGUCAUUUGCACCUUAUGGUGAGUCACUACUAGAAUUAUAGCUAUACAACACCAACGACCGUCAACUUGCACCUCCAAAAUCCUCUUCCCGUCCUCUAUCCAACUCCCAAGUUAGUUUCAUCAAAUUCGAAGCCGAAUUUCCUCAAUUUCAUAUCUAAGAAACGGUAACCAUGGAUUUUCCGGCCAAUUUACAGCCAAGCUUGCCGGAAUUGGACCUCGACCCAAGAGGUAAAGAUGAUCCUCUCCUCGUGGGCUGUCUUCCAGUAUUGGGGACGAGGAAGGUGAAUCAAGGUUGUUUGAGACCUGGGCCGAGAAGAAUGGAAGUUUUUGUAGGUCUUAGUUGCUGGAAGAGACGAGGAAGAGCGUGCCGAAGAGUGGAAAGGUGAUGCAUUUGAUUCAGGUGUUUGAGAAGCUGGUUUCGAUUCAGAGCUCGAAGGAUCCGGAUGAGCAGAAUGGGGAGGAGGAAGCAGCGGAAGAGAUUGGGAAGAAGGCGGCCAAGUGGGCAUUGCCCGGAUUGUAGCCUCCUAAGGCACCGGAAACACAGGUCUCGUCUUCUUCGUUUUUCCCGCCAAACUUGUUGUUGACGACGGAGAAUCUCGGUCUGGAUCGGCAAACUUCAGUCUCUUCUUCUUGGGAUGGAAGUCUGGAAAGUGUCUCAAGCAGGACUUCGAAUGGGGGGGCGAAGGAGCCGAGGAAAUAGCUCUGAAUCUUGUAGCACAAUCGGAGGAGGGAGAUGGAAGAAGAAAAAGCAACUGAGAGCCACUAGCACUAAGCCAUUCAAGCUAAGAAUAUAGGAAAGGGGAAGACAAAAGGAGGAAGAAUUCACGAAGAAGCUACAAGAGAUGAUGAUGGAGGAGGAGAGACAGCGGAUACCAAUUGCUUAGGGCCUCCCAUGGACAACUGACGAAGCAGAGUGCUUACUGAAACCUCUAGUAAAAGAAAUAACAAUACCAACAGACCUGAAGCUCCACAGUGACAUGCGGGCAAUAGAGCGAGUAGAGUUUGACCAUCAGGUGGUAGAGAAGAUGAGCCUGUUUGAGCAAUACAAGAUGGAAAGAGAAAGACUGCUGAAGGUAAAGAGUUAUUGCACUUGAUGAGCAAUUCAGUCUAUUCGUCACCACUCAUAUAGGUUUCCCUGUGGUCCAUUUUUCUGUGAAGCAAUUCAGUAAUUAUAUUUGAUGCUUACAGAUCACAGAGAAGUUGAUAGCAGAUAUGUUCUUAGUUGAAGCAAUUCAGUAAUCAUAUCUCAGUGUUGUCCUCAACUCUAAUCACUUUAACAGUUGGACUUGAGUUAACAUUAUUCUUACGAAAUUUGUGGGUUUGAUUUUGGGUGCGGGUUGCAGCUGAUGAUCAGAUUCAAGUUAUUGAAAUGAUUAAGCUCUUGGAAACAAAGGGUUGGAAGACUUUUUAAAGUUUGGUUCCAACAUUUGUACAAAAUUGCAUAAAAUAUCAGUUGUGCAAAUUUAUAGUUGUUUUCUUAUAUUUUAAUGAUAUUACAAUUUGUUUUCUCACCAAAAA